Molecule: non-coding RNA, 314 nt
Organism: Pogona vitticeps (central bearded dragon)
Lineage: Eukaryota; Metazoa; Chordata; Lepidosauria; Squamata; Agamidae
Source: RefSeq, a predicted model, not a curated record
UGCAUUCCCCACAUGCCAUUGAUCCCGGAAGGCCGAAUGGCAGAUUCAUCACAGACCAGGACACCACUCUGGCAACAGCAUGAGGUGUAUGAGAAGCCAACGCUUCCUGGAUAGGCCCCAAAGAGCAGUUGAUAUUACACAGUGAGCACCUCAUCACAUUCAUCUUCUGCUUCAUCAGUUCCACCUGCGUAUUCCCACCAAAAUUCCUCUGCAUUUCCGUAGAAUUGACGCACUCCUGGAAUACAUGAUAUCAUGUGCCUGCGUUCACUGCAGCGUGUUUCAGCCUACGGGACUUAUAACUGGUUGAGAAGGUC